UAAAAAAAGGUAAGCUACUAAGAGCGAAUGGUGGAUGCCUUGACUGGUAAAGGCGAUGAAGGACGUACUAGACUGCGAUAAGCUACGGGGAGCUGUCAAGAAGCUUUGAUCCGUAGAUUUCCGAAUGGGGCAACCCAAUGUAUAGAGAUAUACAUUACCUAUAUAGGAGCGAACGAGGGGAAUUGAAACAUCUUAGUACCCUCAGGAAAAGAAAUCAAUAGAGAUUGCGUCAGUAGCGGCGAGCGAAAGCGCAAGAGGGCAAACCCAGUGCUUGCACUGGGGGUUGUAGGACUGCAAUGUGCAAGAGCUGAGUUUAGCAGAACAUUCUGGAAAGUAUAGCCAUAGAGGGUGAUAGUCCCGUAUGCGAAAAACAAAGCUUAGCUAGCAGUAUCCUGAGUAGGGCGGGACACGAGGAAUCCUGUCUGAAUCCGGGUCGACCACGAUCCAACCCUAAAUACUAAUACCAGAUCGAUAGUGCACAAGUACCGUGAGGGAAAGGUGAAAAGAACUGAGGUGAUCAGAGUGAAAUAGAACCUGAAACCAUUUGCUUACAAUCAUUCAGAGCACUAUGUAGCAAUACAGUGUGAUGGACUGCCUUUUGCAUAAUGAGCCUGCGAGUUGUGGUGUCUGGCAAGGUUAAGCAAACGCGAAGCCGUAGCGAAAGCGAGUCUGAAUAGGGCGCUUAGUCAGAUGCUGCAGACCCGAAACGAAGUGAUCUAUCCAUGAGCAAGUUGAAGCUAGUGUAAGAACUAGUGGAGGACUGAACCCAUAGGCGUUGAAAAGCCCCGGGAUGACUUGUGGAUAGGGGUGAAAGGCCAAUCAAACUUCGUGAUAGCUGGUUCUCUCCGAAAUAUAUUUAGGUAUAGCGUUGUGUCGUAAUAUAAGGGGGUAGAGCACUGAAUGGGCUAGGGCAUACACCAAUGUACCAAACCCUAUCAAACUCCGAAUACCUUAUAUGUAAUCACAGCAGUCAGGCGGCGAGUGAUAAAAUCCGUCGUCAAGAGGGAAACAACCCAGACUACCAGCUAAGGUCCCUAAAUCUUACUUAAGUGGAAAACGAUGUGAAGUUACUUAAACAACCAGGAGGUUGGCUUAGAAGCAGCCAUCCUUUAAAGAAAGCGUAAUAGCUCACUGGUCUAGUGAUUUUGCGCGGAAAAUAUAACGGGGCUAAAGUAAGUACCGAAGCUGUAGACUUGCACACAACUUAGAUUAUUUAAGUUUAGAAUAUGAGAAACUAAGUUAUAUGUUUAGUUAUAUUUUUACUGAUUUUUAUAGAGUAAAGAUAGAAAUAAAACUUAGUAAAAUCAGUAAAAAUAUUCUUAGGCUAAAGUUAAGUAGUUUAAGUUGUGUGCAAGUGGUAGGAGAGCGUUCUAUUUGCGUCGAAGGUAUACCGGUAAGGAGUGCUGGAGCGAAUAGAAGUGAGCAUGCAGGCAUGAGUAGCGAUAAUUAAUGUGAGAAUCAUUAACGCCGUAAACCCAAGGUUUCCUACGCGAUGCUCGUCAUCGUAGGGUUAGUCGGGUCCUAAGUCGAGUCCGAAAGGGGUAGACGAUGGCAAAUUGGUUAAUAUUCCAAUACCAACAUUAGUGUGCGAUGGAAGGACGCUUAGGGCUAAGGGGGCUAGCGGAUGGAAGUGCUAGUCUAAGGUUGUAGGAGGUUAUACAGGCAAAUCCGUAUAACAAUACUCCGAGAACUGAAAGGCUUUUUGAAGUCUUCGGAUGGAUAGAAGAACCCCUGAUGCCGUCGAGCCAAGAAAAGUUUCUAAGUUUAGCUAAUGUUGCCCGUACCGUAAACCGACACAGGUGGGUGGGAUGAGUAUUCUAAGGCGCGUGGAAGAACUCUCUUUAAGGAACUCUGCAAAAUAGCACCGUAUCUUCGGUAUAAGGUGUGGUUAGCUUCGUACUAGGAUUUACUCCGAAAGCGAAGAAACUUACAACAAAGAGUCCCUCCCGACUGUUUACCAAAAACACAGCACUCUGCUAACUCGUAAGAGGAUGUAUAGGGUGUGACGCCUGCCCGGUGCUCGAAGGUUAAUUGAUGGGGUUAGCAUUAGCGAAGCUCUUGAUCGAAGCCCGAGUAAACGGCGGCCGUAACUAUAACGGUCCUAAGGUAGCGAAAUUCCUUGUCGGUUAAAUACCGACCUGCAUGAAUGGCGUAACGAGAUGGGAGCUGUCUCAAAGAGGGAUCCAGUGAAAUUGUAGUGGAGGUGAAAAUUCCUCCUACCCGCGGCAAGACGGAAAGACCCCGUGGACCUUUACUACAGCUUGACACUGCUACUUGGAUAAGAAUGUGCAGGAUAGGUGGGAGGCUUUGAGUAUAUGACGCCAGUUGUAUAUGAGCCAUUGUUGAGAUACCACUCUUUCUUAUUUGGGUAGCUAACCAGCUUGAGUUAUCCUCAAGUGGGACAAUGUCUGGUGGGUAGUUUGACUGGGGCGGUCGCCUCCCAAAUAAUAACGGAGGCUUACAAAGGUUGGCUCAGAACGGUUGGAAAUCGUUCGUAGAGUAUAAAGGUAUAAGCCAGCUUAACUGCAAGACAUACAAGUCAAGCAGAGACGAAAGUCGGUCUUAGUGAUCCGGUGGUUCUGUGUGGAAGGGCCAUCGCUCAAAGGAUAAAAGGUACCCCGGGGAUAACAGGCUGAUCUCCCCCAAGAGCUCACAUCGACGGGGAGGUUUGGCACCUCGAUGUCGGCUCAUCGCAUCCUGGGGCUGGAGCAGGUCCCAAGGGUAUGGCUGUUCGCCAUUUAAAGCGGUACGCGAGCUGGGUUCAGAACGUCGUGAGACAGUUCGGUCCCUAUCUGCCGUGGGCGUAAGAAGAUUGAAGAGAUUUGACCCUAGUACGAGAGGACCGGGUUGAACAAACCACUGGUGUAGCUGUUGUUCUGCCAAGAGCAUCGCAGCGUAGCUAAGUUUGGAAAGGAUAAACACUGAAAGCAUCUAAGCGUGAAGCCAACUCUAAGAUGAAUCUUCUCUAAGCUCUCUAGAAGACUACUAGUUUGAUAGGCUGGGUGUGUAAUGGAUGAAAGUCCUUUAGCUGACCAGUACUAAUAGAGCGUUUGGCUUAUCUUUAAUAAAGCAU
Molecule: ribosomal RNA, 3073 nt
Filed under: Campylobacter jejuni
Lineage: Bacteria; Pseudomonadati; Campylobacterota; Epsilonproteobacteria; Campylobacterales; Campylobacteraceae
Description: 23S ribosomal RNA
Rfam family: Bacterial large subunit ribosomal RNA
Source: RNAcentral